AGAAUCAACGCUGGCGGCGUGCCUAACACAUGCAAGUCGAACGAGAAAGUGGGAGCAAUCCCACGAGUAAAGUGGCGCACGGGUGAGUAACACGUGACUAACCUACCCUUGAGUGGGGGGAUAACCUAGGGAAACCUGGGCUAAUACCGCAUAAUACCUACGGGUCAAAGGAGCAAUUCGCUUAAGGAGGGGGUCGCGGCAGAUUAGUUAGUUGGCGGGGUAAUGGCCCACCAAGACAGUGAUCUGUAUCCGGCCUGAGAGGGCGCACGGACACACUGGAACUGAAACACGGUCCAGACUCCUACGGGAGGCAGCAGUGGGGAAUUUGCGCAAUGGGGGAAACCCUGACGCAGCAACGCCGCGUGGAGGAUGAAGCCCCUUGGGGCGUAAACUCCUUUCGAUCGGGAAGAUAAUGACGGUACCGGAAGAAGAAGCCCGGCUAACUUCGCGCCAGCAGCCGC
RNAcentral lists this ribosomal RNA (461 nucleotides) under uncultured bacterium. Its description in RNAcentral is "SSU rRNA". It matches the Rfam family "Bacterial small subunit ribosomal RNA", at positions 26 to 518 of the family's 1533-position model. The record is from RNAcentral.